This 230-nucleotide long non-coding RNA is filed under the name Musa acuminata (dwarf banana). RNAcentral describes it as "long non-coding RNA (MACU_LNC005755)". Lineage: Eukaryota; Viridiplantae; Streptophyta; Magnoliopsida; Zingiberales; Musaceae. The record is from RNAcentral.
AUCGCCUGAGCGCUCGGGCGCCAGGCGGUGGCACCGCUCGGUUUGGUGGUGGCACCGCCCGAGACACCCUAUAAAUCCCAAAUGGUUAGGGCCGGCGGUGACACCGCCCCCAACCCGUGGAAGCCUUGCUCCAACUCUCCCAAACUCUCUCAAUCCCUCAUUCUAACCUCUACAAACCUUGGAGAGGGAUUCUUGUUGGUCCAAGCUCUCCAUCAUCCAAGAAACACUCC